RNAcentral lists this transfer RNA (155 nucleotides) under Thermodesulfovibrio yellowstonii DSM 11347. RNAcentral describes it as "tRNA-His". The stretch from base 2 to 75 matches the Rfam family "tRNA". Lineage: Bacteria; Pseudomonadati; Nitrospirota; Thermodesulfovibrionia; Thermodesulfovibrionales; Thermodesulfovibrionaceae. The record is from RNAcentral.
UGCGCCUGUAGCUCAGUCGGAUAGAGCAACUGCCUUCUAAGCAGUGGGCCGGGGGUUCGAAUCCCUCCAGGCGCGUAGGCGGACGUAGCUCAACGGUUAGAGCACUGGACUGUGGCUCCAGGUGCUGCGGGUUCGAGUCCCGUCGUCCGCCCCAA